UGGGGAUGACGUCAAGUCCUCAUGGCCCUUAUGGGUGGGCUUACACACGUCAUACAAUGGUCGGUACAGAGGGUUGCCAACCCGCGAGGGGGAGCUAAUCCCACAAAGCCGAUCGUAGUCCGGAUCGCAGUCUGCAACUCGACUGCGUGAAGUCGGAAUCGCUAGUAAUCGUGGAUCAGCAUGUCACGGUGAAUACGUUCCCGGGUCUU
Molecule: ribosomal RNA, 209 nt
Filed under: uncultured Allobrachymonas sp.
Lineage: Bacteria; Pseudomonadati; Pseudomonadota; Betaproteobacteria; Burkholderiales; Comamonadaceae
Description: uncultured Brachymonas sp. partial 16S ribosomal RNA
Rfam family: Bacterial small subunit ribosomal RNA
Source: RNAcentral